This 253-nucleotide ribosomal RNA is filed under the name Steroidobacter sp. RNAcentral describes it as "partial 16S ribosomal RNA". It matches the Rfam family "Bacterial small subunit ribosomal RNA", at positions 524 to 776 of the family's 1533-position model. RNAcentral also lists the same sequence under 2 other names. Lineage: Bacteria; Pseudomonadati; Pseudomonadota; Gammaproteobacteria; Steroidobacterales; Steroidobacteraceae. The record is from RNAcentral.
UACAGAGGGUGCGAGCGUUAAUCGGAAUUACUGGGCGUAAAGCGCGCGUAGGCGGCUUUGUAAGUCGGAUGUGAAAUCCCCGGGCUUAACCUGGGAACUGCAUUCGAGACUGCAUAGCUUGAGUAUGGGAGAGGGAGGCGGAAUUUCCGGUGUAGCGGUGAAAUGCGUAGAUAUCGGAAGGAACAUCAGUGGCGAAAGCGGCCUCCUGGACCAAUACUGACGCUCAUGUGCGAAAGCGUGGGGAGCAAACAGG